Molecule: long non-coding RNA, 509 nt
Organism: Nerophis ophidion (straightnose pipefish)
Lineage: Eukaryota; Metazoa; Chordata; Actinopteri; Syngnathiformes; Syngnathidae
Exons: 2
Source: RefSeq, a predicted model, not a curated record
CACACACACACACACACACACACGCACACACACACACACACACACACACACAACUCCCUCUUGAAGUGAAGUGUUUGCAUUCAUGUGUUUGGAGAGAGCGCUUGAAAGGGAGAAGACGCUGCCUUCAAAUCAGUCCUCACCUCAGCAGCAUGGUGCCUGCAUGUCCUUCUAGCUUCUAAAGGGAAGGUGUGAGAAGGUUAUCCUAUCUGGGCAGCAAGAGUCCAUCGUAUGAUUUUACAGUAUACCCUUCCUGACACAACCUUCUGGGUUUGGAAAUGGCACUGGACAUAUGGAAUUUUACCGCAGAUAUAUUCCUAGCUUUUUCCUGCUCUGUCACUGAUCAGAACAUGAUGGCACAUUCCCGAGGACAUUCACAAAUUCCCCACUAGCGCGUUGUGUUAGUGCUCAGCUUGUAAGGAGAAACGUGAAGUUUGAUUAUCAGUUGGACAGUUGUUAGGAAAAUCUGCAAAAAUGUGUUUUAAUUGUUUUAAAUACAUUUGCACAACAAA